ACACGACUACAUUAGAUACCCCUGUAGUCCCAGCCCUAAACGAUGCGCGUUAGGUGUAUCGGUGACCACGAGUCACCGAGGUGCCGAAGGGAAACCGUGAAACGUGCCGCCUGGGAAGUACGGUCGCAAGGCUGAAACUUAAAGGAAUUGACGGGGGAGCACCACAACGGGUGGAGCCUGCGGUUUAAUUGGACUCAACGCCGGGAAGCUCACCGGAUAAGACAGCGGAAUGAUUGCCGGGCUGAAGACCCUGCAUGACCAGCUG
Molecule: ribosomal RNA, 265 nt
Filed under: uncultured archaeon
Lineage: Archaea
Description: partial 16S ribosomal RNA
Rfam family: Archaeal small subunit ribosomal RNA
Source: RNAcentral